RNAcentral lists this ribosomal RNA (791 nucleotides) under uncultured bacterium. RNAcentral's name for it is "bacterial SSU rRNA". It matches the Rfam family "Bacterial small subunit ribosomal RNA", at positions 8 to 796 of the family's 1533-position model. The record is from RNAcentral.
AGAGUUUGAUCCUGGCUCAGGAUGAACGCUGGCGGCGUGCCUAACACAUGCAAGUCGAGCGCGAUUAAAUGAAGUGGAGAGCUUGCUCAAAGCGACAUUUAUGAAAGCGGCGGACGGGUGAGUAACGCGUGGGCAACCUGCCCUGUGCAGAGGGAUAGCCACUGGAAACGGUGAUUAAUACCUCAUGGAGCUAUUGAACCGCAUGGUUUGAUGGUGAAAGUUCCGGCGGCACAGGAUGGGCCCGCGUCUGAUUAGCUAGUUGGUGAGGUAACGGCUCACCAAGGCGACGAUCAGUAGCCGACCUGAGAGGGUGAACGGCCACACUGGAACUGAGACACGGUCCAGACUCCUACGGGAGGCAGCAGUGGGGAAUAUUGCACAAUGGGCGCAAGCCUGAUGCAGCAACGCCGCGUGAGUGAAGAAGGCUUUCGGGUCGUAAAGCUCUGUCCUAGGGGAAGAAUAAAUGACGGUACCCUGGGAGGAAGCCCCGGCUAACUCUGUGCCAGCAGCCGCGGUAAUACAGAGGGGGCAAGCGUUAUUCGGAAUUAUUGGGCGUAAAGGGCGCGUAGGCGGUUUUUUAAGUCAGAUGUGUAAUCCCCGAGCUCAACUUGGGAACUGCAUCUGAGACUGGAAGGCUAGAGUACUGGAGAGGGUGGUAGAAUUCCACGUGUAGCGGUGAAAUGCGUAGAGAUGUGGAGGAAUACCAGUGGCGAAGGCGGCCACCUGGACAGUAACUGACGCUGAGGCGCGAGAGCGUGGGUAGCAAACAGGAUUAGAUACCCUGGUAGUCC